This 117-nucleotide ribosomal RNA is filed under the name Miscanthicoccus miscanthi. Its description in RNAcentral is "partial 16S ribosomal RNA". The record is from RNAcentral. Lineage: Eukaryota; Metazoa; Arthropoda; Insecta; Hemiptera; Pseudococcidae.
AAUUAAUUAAAAGUUGAACAAACUUACUUAAUUUAAUUUCUAUUUUAAAAAGUUAAAUUAAUUCAACAUCGAGGUAAUAAUCUAAUUUUUUAAUUUAAUCUAUAAAAAUUAAUAAUC